AUUGAACGCUGGCGGCAGGCCUAACACAUGCAAGUCGAGCGGAUGAAGGGAGCUUGCUCCUGGAUUCAGCGGCGGACGGGUGAGUAAUGCCUAGGAAUCUGCCUGGUAGUGGGGGAUAACGUCCGGAAACGGGCGCUAAUACCGCAUACGUCCUGAGGGAGAAAGUGGGGGAUCUUCGGACCUCACGCCAUCAGAUGAGCCUAGGUCGGAUUAGCUAGUUGGUGGGGUAAAGGCCUACCAAGGCGACGAUCCGUAACUGGUCUGAGAGGAUGAUCAGUCACACUGGAACUGAGACACGGUCCAGACUCCUACGGGAGGCAGCAGUGGGGAAUAUUGGACAAUAGGCGAAAGCCUGAUCCAGCCAUGCCGCGUGUGUGAAGAAGGUCUUCGGAUUGUAAAGCACUUUAAGUUGGGAGGAAGGGCAGUAAGUUAAUACCUUGCUGUUUUGACGUUACCAACAGAAUAAGCACCGGCUAACUUCGUG
This 484-nucleotide ribosomal RNA is filed under the name uncultured bacterium. RNAcentral's name for it is "partial 16S ribosomal RNA". It matches the Rfam family "Bacterial small subunit ribosomal RNA", at positions 30 to 507 of the family's 1533-position model. The record is from RNAcentral.